UACGAAGGGAGCUAGCGUUGUUCGGAAUCACUGGGCGUAAAGCGCACGUAGGCGGAUUUGUUAGUCAGGGGUGAAAUCCCGGGGCUCAACCUCGGAACUGCCUUUGAUACUGCAAAUCUCGAGUCCGAAAGAGGUGAGUGGAAUUCCUAGUGUAGAGGUGAAAUUCGUAGAUAUUAGGAAGAACACCAGUGGCGAAGGCGGCUCACUGGUCCGGUACUGACGCUGAGGUGCGAAAGCGUGGGGAGCAAACAGG
RNAcentral lists this ribosomal RNA (253 nucleotides) under uncultured bacterium. Its description in RNAcentral is "partial 16S ribosomal RNA". It matches the Rfam family "Bacterial small subunit ribosomal RNA", at positions 524 to 776 of the family's 1533-position model. The record is from RNAcentral.